This is a non-coding RNA of Alligator mississippiensis (American alligator), 477 nucleotides long. The record is from the annotation of a RefSeq genome assembly. Lineage: Eukaryota; Metazoa; Chordata; Crocodylia; Alligatoridae.
AUGGCCCUGGCUCCGCUCCUCCUUGUCCUUUGCAUUUACUUCUCAGGUGCUGGUGCCCAGUUCGUGCUGACUCAGCCGCCCUCGGUGUCAGCGUCUCCCGGAGGAACAGCUACCAUCACCUGUGCCAGGAGCAGCGGCAGCAUCAGUGACUACUAUAUAUCCUGGUACCAGCAGAAGCCUGGCAGGGCUCCGGUGAUGGUUAUAUAUGAGGAUACUGAAAGGCCCUCGGGGAUCCCCAGCCGAUUCUCAGGGUCCAUUGAUGAAUCUGCCAACACGGCCAUGUUAACCAUCAGUGGAGUGCAGCCGGACGAUGAGGCUGAUUAUUACUGUUUCUCGUAUGACAGCAGCAGCAGCAAUCCCACAGUGCUACAGACACAAGGAGAACUGAGACAAAAACCUCCCUCAGGUUUACAGAGUCUAGAUUCUCAAUUCCUAGUGGGCCCUGCUGCCAGGUGGGAGCAGUUCCUCAGUGUCUGA